GACGAGUUAGUUAAAUAUAACAUCAGAAUGUCAAACUGAUAUUAUCAAAAAUUGAUACCCUUCU
RNAcentral lists this transfer RNA (64 nucleotides) under Asiablatta kyotensis. Its description in RNAcentral is "tRNA-Asp". Lineage: Eukaryota; Metazoa; Arthropoda; Insecta; Blattodea; Blattellidae. The record is from RNAcentral.